Sphaerodactylus townsendi is the source of this 4091-nucleotide long non-coding RNA. RefSeq lists it as uncharacterized. Lineage: Eukaryota; Metazoa; Chordata; Lepidosauria; Squamata; Sphaerodactylidae. The transcript has 5 exons. The record is from RefSeq and is a predicted model, not a curated record.
ACGGGUCCCCAUUGGGUGGCCGAGGCAAGGAGGGGAAAAUGGCGGCGUGAGAGGAAGAAGUGAAGCAAGAGCCGCGGGCUGCGGCCCGAUGGCCUCAGCUGAGCCACCAAAAUGGGUUAGAAUGAAGAAAGAGAGAUGGGCAUGAAGGGGCAUCAAAUAUCUUUUUCUUUCAAGAGCAGCUGAAAAUGCAGUCCAUACAUAAACCAUCUUGAUUGCCAGUUGGAACAAGAAAAUUGCUUUACCAGAAAACUAAAGAUGUUCUACAUGAUGAUUUGUGCAGCCAUAAAACAAACAGGAAUAUAGUCUUGUGGUUUGAGUAAGGCUCAAGAAAUUGCAGUACUCUAAGACAACAAUAAGACCAUUCAGGUUGAUCCAGCCAAGGUGGAUCUUGAAGCCCCACCAGUUCAUGAAAGGACUUACACGAUGAAAGAAAUCAUCUCCAUGAAGGAAAACGAAGAAUCCCAGUUCUGUUUCUGGUCCAGCUCCUUCAACAUUUGACAUGUGAAGCCUGUAUUAUAGCAAAGGUGUAUUUCCAACCCUUGCCAAAUAACAUAAAUGACUAGCUGACAUUUCACAGAAAAUGUCAACUUCAGUACCUCUUUGCUCAAGAGUUUCUGUAGUCUUGAAGAGAUUGUGCAUGCCAGUACGGGCAAGAGCCAGUACUGAUUGGUAUUUACCCCUUUUCAAAAUGCCUACAGCCCACUCUCUAAAUAACCCUUGGAAAAUCUAGCAAACUGAUAAGUCUCUUCAAAAUGUUGCAAAAGUUUAACACGGAAGGUUGUGGGAGGAUAAGCUGGGUGUGUGUGUGUGUGUUACCUAAAGUGAGGAACAACUAUUUUUCUUAAAACGCUCUGAGAAAACCCUAGCUGGGUUUUUUUAGCCCAUAAAGGUGACGAAUUUAUAGAUAACCAUCUUAGUGCUAUUGUGUAGAGCAGCUUGUGCAGAGAAACUGAUUGGCAUUUUGUCUGCUAUGUUUGAGUGCAUCCUUUGUUUUAAAAGAAACCCUAUAGAUCUGCAUGUAUAUAUCUACAGAUUUGAUGGAACAGAGAUGUUGCUGUGAGCUGUUCCUAUUCUGACAAAUUCCUUCACAAGGUGAAGCUCUGAAUUUAAAGUAUGUGCAAGCAAGCUAAGGGGCAUAUAAGUGGCAUUCCCAGUCAUCCCUAGACAAUUUAGCAGCAAAAGGAACAACAGCUUUCUCUAGUUCAAGCUUCUACCCAAAGGGAACAAAUGAGAAAGUAUAAAAAUAUAUGUGAAUUUUCCCACCAUUCAGAUGAACAAAGGCUAGGCAUGCUCAGGAAGGGCUUAUUCACUGCUUCCUUUGAUGUCUCCACUGGAGAUAAGGUGGAAGUUCUGAUUCUAACAUGUUUACACAGGAUUCUUUUUAUUUUGCUGUGUGUGACUUUUACAGGACAUUUUGCUUUAGCAUAGGAUAAUAGGGAAUUGCCACAGUUGGUGGCUACCUGGUGUAAAAGUCUGAACCUGGAGUCCUCAAUAGUGCACCUUAAGUUCAGUCUUAUUAAAUGUGAAUUUAGAAUAGGAUUGCCAAAUUAAAACUCCUUGAUCUAGGUUAAAAUGGUGGUAUGUAUUCUAAUGACUCUCAUCAUUAGUUAACAGAAUUUUCAGCACUAUCUGUCAUUUACUGAUAGUAAGUAUAUUAUUUUCUGGGAUGGACAGCCGUGGCUGAUGAGACAGCAUAUUUUCCUUUAAGAAUAGUUGAAUAAACGGACAUUGCUGUUAACGAAACAUUGGUAAAUGGGGUCAUCCAUAGGCAUUGUGUACGAUUUCUAUAAAGUAGAAAUGCAAGGGAAUUCUUCUGAACUUAGUUCAGUUGUUUUCCUUUAUCAGGCUGAGAAAAAAUGUUGGAAUAGAACAUUGUAAAACAGCAGAACAUAAGUUGGCUUUCCUGCUGACUACUUCUGCAAAAAAUAAUGAUCAUUGAGAGAUAAUUAUCUAUCAUUUUUUUGGAAAUAUUUUGGAAUCCAAAUUAAAAAUUAUUAAGUAAUUGAGUAUCAUUUUAUAAUAAUCUUACCAGGAAAUCUUGUUGAAUUCAGUGGGGUUUUAGGUGCAUGGUCUGUUUUGAAUUGGUGUGAAAACAAUUCUGUGCAGCCUGGAUACUGAAAAUUUAAAAGCAUCCAGUAUGGUGGUGACUUGUUGAGCAUCCUGCAGUCUUCACAUUGUUGUCUUAACAUCAUAAAUUUUUUUUUCUAAUAUGUGCUGUCACUGGCAGAAAUUUAUCAAUAUGUUUCAUCACAAUGUCAGUUUGGAAUGAAUACAACGGAAGGUCCAAAUUGGUAAUCCAAAACUUCAGUAAAAGAAUCCUCCCUUCCUCCCCCCCUUUCCCCUCUAGGCCCUUUUCUAAUAAUAAAACUUUCUGUGCACAAUAGGGCUAUAUUAAUACUGAAGCUGAAGACUCAGAAAAAAAACCUCUGUUCAUGCCCAGGAAACCCCACUGCAGUACUUGUCCUGUAGCAUCUUCUUAAUUGUACUGUGCAAAGGCAAUACUGCCUUAAUCUCUUGGUUUAAUAUUUUGGUCUGCAUCUGUUUCUCCAUGUCGGCAGGAAACUUUUCCACAUGAAAGAUUAAACAAAUAUGGGCAUGUGCAAUAGUAUAAUAUAUAUAUACAUAUAAAUAUAUUUUAAUACUUGUGGACAAAAAGUUACAAGUUGUUUGAGAACAACAAAAUCACCAAUGUCUUCCAUUUUGAGAUGUGUAUAGUUCCAUAAGCAUUAGUGCUUUGUAGCGAAACUGUAGUGCCAUGUUAGAAUCAGUGCAUGAGCCUUGUAGUACUUUUUUUACAAUUUCAGAGUGACAAAUAAACAACACUGGUGAUUUAACUAAUAAGAAACAGACAAGAUUAUGUUCAUGAUCUAAAGAUGCAGUGUCUUUUCUAGGCAGUGGUAACAGAAGCUAUGCUAUAAAACAGUAACGUGAGUUUGAAAUUAUGUGGAAAUUGUACUUGCGAGCAGCCAUGUACAUUUUAGUGACAUUUAAGUGUGGAUAAAAUCCAGACUAUAGUGACACAAUCUUUAACAAAGGCCUUUCUUUGUGAGCAAUACCCACUUGCUUUAAUGGACAAAUCCACUGAUCACUGAUGCUUUAAAAGUUCCACUUAUCAGAGUAAGUUGAUCAGUAAUCACUCAUACUAUGUGUUCUGGUAACGAAUUCCUUUGUAUAUUUGGUCAAAUGCUGUAUUUUCCCAUUCAGGAUGGGCUCCUGUACUUUGAGACAAUUUCCCAUUGGCUGCAUGUGUGUCCUAACAUCCCGUUUUAGGAGCAUCAAUGUAACUGUUGAUCGAGAAUUAACUGUUGUAAAAUUAAUUACAUUAGAACAGGUAGAGCUACUGGUUCAGUUUAAAAUUCAAAAUUUCAGUGGUGCCAUCCAUUACUAACAGCAGUGCUUGUAUAAAUUUGCAGAUGUUGUUUUUGUUCCUAGUUGCCUCUCUUUUUCUUGGAAAUGUAGCUCCAAGUAGAUAACUUCUGCCUACUAUCCUCUUGCCUUGAUUUAAUUGUUCUAAGUCAUAAAUGGGAUUAUGUAAAGAUCUGUUGUUCAGGGCUGCCAUGCUUCUCUCAACUUUUUAAAGUUGUGCUUCUGGCUUAAAGAAGAUACUGCAUCUUUUUCUUGGUCUUGUCUGUAAAUGGCCACCUUGGGGGGUGGGGGUGGGGAUAAAUUUCUCUUUCUGAGUUGAUUACCUAAAAAUCCAUAAACAGGAAAUUAUUAACUGUAAUGCAAGGGAUCCUAGAAAAGUUACCUUUACUUUUAAAGGUCUCUGCUGUUGUCACAUAAAAAUUGGAAGGUGAGUCGUUUACAGAUGAGCUGUAGGGACCUGUGCUUAGUCAAGGUUCUGUUGUGAACAAAUAUAUCUGUACCAUUGAAUUAAGUAGUUUUAGUGUUUGGAAGAAUUAAUUGAUGGAAAAAUACCUCUGAAACUGGAAUGCAAAAUAGCACAGUAUGUAGGGGGAAGAAUCCCUGAUGCAAAUAAAGCCAUACAAUGACUUAAUAAUAGAAUUUCAGUAGCAAUAACCAUUUGCAUGUAAUAGGAAUUAACUUGCAUUAGCAAGAACUGUACAGUAGAAUAAAUGGUAUCAACCAAA